RNAcentral lists this ribosomal RNA (465 nucleotides) under uncultured bacterium. Its description in RNAcentral is "partial 16S ribosomal RNA". It matches the Rfam family "Bacterial small subunit ribosomal RNA", at positions 28 to 507 of the family's 1533-position model. The record is from RNAcentral.
GACGAACGCUGGCGGCGUGCUUAACACAUGCAAGUCGAACGGAAAGGCCCUGCUUGCAGGGUACUCGAGUGGCGAACGGGUGAGUAACACGUUGGUGAUCUGCCCUUCACUUCGGGAUAAGCCUGUGAAACUGCGUCUAAUACCGGAUAGGAGCCAUCUUUAGUGUGAUGGUUGGAAAGUUUUUUCGGUGUAGGAUGAGCUCGAGGCCUAUCAGCUUGUUGGUGGGGUAAUGGCCUACCCAGGCGGCGACGGGUAGCCGGCCUGAGAGGGUGGACGGCCACAGUGGGACUGAGACACGGACCAGACUCCUACGGGAGGCAGCAGUAGGGGAUGUUGCACAAUGGGCGCAAGCCUGAUGCAGCGCCGCCGAGUGGGGGAGGACGGCCUUCGGGUUGUAAACGCCUUUCGCUAGGGACGAAGCUUUUUGUGACGGUACCUAGAUAAGAAGCACCGGCUAACUACGUG